This 429-nucleotide ribosomal RNA is filed under the name uncultured archaeon. RNAcentral describes it as "bacterial SSU rRNA". It matches the Rfam family "Archaeal small subunit ribosomal RNA", at positions 474 to 903 of the family's 1478-position model. The record is from RNAcentral.
UACCAGCUCUCCGAGCUGUAGGGAUGAUUAUUGGGCUUAAAGCGUCCGUAGCUGGCUUAGCAAGUCUCCUGUUAAAUUCAGCGACCUAAUCGUUGAGCCGCGGGAGAUACUACUAGGCUAGGAGGCGGGAGAGGUCGACGGUACUUUCGGGGUAGGGGUGAAAUCCUAUAAUCCCGGGAGGACCACCAGUGGCGAAGGCUGUCGACUAGAACGCGCUCGACGGUGAGGGACGAAAGCUGGGGGGAGCGAACCGGAUUAGAUACCCGGGUAGUCCCAGCUGUAAACUAUGCGGGCUAGGUGUUGGGGUGGCUACGGGCCACUUCAGUGCCACAGGAAAGCCAUUAAGCCCGCCGCCUGGGGAGUACGGCCGCAAGGCUGAAACUUAAAGGAAUUGGCGGGGAGCACCACAAGGCGUGAAGCUUGCGGUUC